Salmo salar (Atlantic salmon) is the source of this 54-nucleotide non-coding RNA. Lineage: Eukaryota; Metazoa; Chordata; Actinopteri; Salmoniformes; Salmonidae. The record is from Rfam.
AUUGCACCAAUUUGUAAGUCGCUCUGGAUAAGAGCGUCUGCUAAAUGACAUAAA